UACAGAGGUCCCAAGCGUUGUUCGGAUUCACUGGGCGUAAAGGGUGCGUAGGCGGUUGAGUAAGUCUGGCGUGAAAUCUCCGAGCCUAACUCGGAAACUGCGUUGGAUACUAUUUAGCUAGAGGAGUGGAGGGGAGACUGGAAUACUUGGUGUAGCAGUGAAAUGCGUAGAUAUCAAGUGGAACACCAGUGGCGAAGGCGAGUCUCUGGACACAUCCUGACGCUGAGGCACGAAAGCCAGGGGAGCAAACGGG
Molecule: ribosomal RNA, 253 nt
Filed under: uncultured bacterium
Lineage: Bacteria
Description: partial 16S ribosomal RNA
Rfam family: Bacterial small subunit ribosomal RNA
Source: RNAcentral